Molecule: ribosomal RNA, 445 nt
Filed under: uncultured bacterium
Lineage: Bacteria
Description: SSU rRNA
Rfam family: Bacterial small subunit ribosomal RNA
Source: RNAcentral
AGAGCGAACGCUGGCGGCAGGCUUAACACAUGCAAGUCGAGCGGGCGUAGCAAUACGUCAGCGGCAGACGGGUGAGUAACGCGUGGGAACAUACCUUUUGGUUCGGAACAACACAGGGAAACUUGUGCUAAUACCGGAUAAGCCCUUACGGGGAAAGAUUUAUCGCCGAAAGAUUGGCCCGCGUCUGAUUAGCUAGUUGGUGAGGUAAUGGCUCACCAAGGCGACGAUCAGUAGCUGGUCUGAGAGGAUGAUCAGCCACAUUGGGACUGAGACACGGCCCAAACUCCUACGGGAGGCAGCAGUGGGAAUAUGGACAAUGGGGGAAACCCUGAUCCAGCCAUGCCGCGUGAGUGAUGAAGGCCCUAGGGUUGUAAAGCUCUUUUGUGCGGGAAGAUAAUGACGGUACCGCAAGAAUAAGCCCGGCUAACUUCGCGCCAGCAGCCGC